This 571-nucleotide ribosomal RNA is filed under the name Pulvinariella mesembryanthemi. RNAcentral describes it as "SSU rRNA". It matches the Rfam family "Eukaryotic small subunit ribosomal RNA", at positions 22 to 509 of the family's 1831-position model. The record is from RNAcentral. Lineage: Eukaryota; Metazoa; Arthropoda; Insecta; Hemiptera; Coccidae.
AGUCAUAUGCUUGUCUCAAAAAUUAAGCCAUGCAUGUCUAAGUACAAGCCGUCCAGUACGGUGAAACCGCGAAAGGCUCAUUAAAUCAGUUAUGGUUCCUUAGAUCGUACCCACGUUACAUGGAUAACUGUGGUAAUUCUAGAGCUAAUACAUGCCGAUAGAGCUCUAACCAGUACGCCAUAUACUCGGGUUCGUCCGGAGUUUUGGCUGCUCGGAAGGAGCGCUUUUAUUAGAUCAAAACCGACCGAGCGCUCCGUCGUGCCUCGCGCAUGACGGUGCGUAAGCGGCCUACGCAAAGAAUUGAUGACUCUGAAUAACUUUUAGCCGAUCGCACGGUCCUAGUACCGGCGACGUAUCUUUCAAAUGUCUGCCUUAUCAACUGUCGACGGUAGGUUCUACGCCUACCGUGGUGGUAACGGGUAACGGGGAAUCAGGGUUCGAUUCCGGAGAGGGAGCCUGAGAAACGGCUACCACAUCCAAGGAAGGCAGCAGGCGUGAAAAUUAUCCAUUUACGGCCAGUAGAGAUAGUGACGAAAAAUAACGAUACGGGACUCAUCCGAGGCCCCGUAAU